This is a long non-coding RNA of Herpailurus yagouaroundi (jaguarundi), 439 nucleotides long. RefSeq lists it as uncharacterized. The record is from RefSeq and is a predicted model, not a curated record. Lineage: Eukaryota; Metazoa; Chordata; Mammalia; Carnivora; Felidae. The transcript has 2 exons.
GCUGGUUGCCAGGGUAACCAACCUGCAAUCACAGGGUUGGAACUCCAAGCCCCGCCCCCAGCCCUACGGAGGGGAGAGGGGCUGGAGAUCUGAGCUCGGUCGCCAGUCCCACCUUUGUAGUGAAGCCCCCACCGGAGCCCAGGAGGACAGGGCCCAGCGCUUCCCGGCUGGUGAAGAUGGAGAAGAAGGACGCGCACCAGGACGGGUCUUGGGUGCUGUGCCCCCUCCCACAUACAGUGCCCUACACAUCAGUUCCCCCCGGGGCUCUCCCUGAGUUUCACCUUUUUUCCAAUAAACAGCUCCUUCUGCUGAGGAUCCCAGCUCCCCGAUGCCCAUUCCCAUUCCUCAGACUCAUGUAUUGUUGAAGAUACUUCUCAGGUGUUACCUCCUCUGUUAGUCUAUUCCUCUUCUGAACCCGUAAAACUUUGAAUCACGCUGA